CCUACGGGAGGCAGCAGUGGGGAAUAUUGGACAAUGGGGGGAACCCUGAUCCAGCCAUACCGCGUGUGUGAAGAAGGCCCUCGGGUUGUAAAGCACUUUCAGUGAGGAAGAACGCCUGGUGGUUAAUACCCAUCAGGAAAGACAUCACUCACAGAAGAAGCACCGGCUAACUCCGUGCCAGCAGCCGCGGUAAUACGGAGGGUGCGAGCGUUAAUCGGAAUUACUGGGCGUAAAGCGCGCGUAGGUGGCUUGAUAAGCCGGUUGUGAAAGCCCCGGGCUCAACCUGGGAACGGCAUCCGGAACUGUCAAGCUAGAGUGCAGGAGAGGAAGGUAGAAUUCCCGGUGUAGCGGUGAAAUGCGUAGAGAUCGGGAGGAAUACCAGUGGCGAAGGCGGCCUUCUGGACUGACACUGACACUGAGGUGCGAAAGCGUGGGUAGCAAACAGGAUUAGAUACCCUGGUAGUC
RNAcentral lists this ribosomal RNA (465 nucleotides) under Vreelandella stevensii. RNAcentral's name for it is "partial 16S ribosomal RNA". It matches the Rfam family "Bacterial small subunit ribosomal RNA", at positions 338 to 795 of the family's 1533-position model. Lineage: Bacteria; Pseudomonadati; Pseudomonadota; Gammaproteobacteria; Oceanospirillales; Halomonadaceae. The record is from RNAcentral.